GGGCAGAUGGCCGAGUGGUCUAAGGCGCUAGUUUUAGGAGAGCAUCAUCUAGGAAGGUGUUACGUUCUGGAAAUCACUAGUCUUCGGGCGUGGGUUCAAAUCCCACUCUGCUCA
Transfer RNA from Puccinia sorghi, 114 nucleotides. It matches the Rfam family "tRNA". Rfam says of the family: Transfer RNA (tRNA) molecules are approximately 80 nucleotides in length. Lineage: Eukaryota; Fungi; Basidiomycota; Pucciniomycetes; Pucciniales; Pucciniaceae. The record is from Rfam.